RNAcentral lists this ribosomal RNA (191 nucleotides) under uncultured bacterium. Its description in RNAcentral is "partial 16S ribosomal RNA". It matches the Rfam family "Bacterial small subunit ribosomal RNA", at positions 1311 to 1500 of the family's 1533-position model. The record is from RNAcentral.
UUCGCCUGCAUGAAGCCGGAAUUGCUAGUAAUGGCAGGUCAGCAUACUGCCGUGAAUACGUUCCCGGGCCUUGUACACACCGCCCGUCACACCAUGAGAGUUGGGGAUACCCAAAGCCCGUGAGCCAACUUUAAAAGAGGCAGCGGUCUAAGGUAGAAUCAAUGAUUGGGGUGAAGUCGUAACAAGGUAGC